UUCUUAUUGAAUGAUGACUGUCACAUGUCAUGUUCUGAUUGGAUGUCAAUUCCAUGAAAGAUGAAAUGCAUUGUUGUUUUCAUUUACCAAUCAGAACAUGACAUGUGAUAGUCAUCAUCC
RNAcentral lists this microRNA precursor (120 nucleotides) under Glycine soja. RNAcentral's name for it is "MIR1520 microRNA precursor family". It matches the Rfam family "MIR1520 microRNA precursor family". The record is from Rfam by way of RNAcentral. Lineage: Eukaryota; Viridiplantae; Streptophyta; Magnoliopsida; Fabales; Fabaceae.